UUAGAGUUUGAUCCUGGCUCAGGAUGAACGCUAGCGGCGGGCCUAAUACAUGCAAGUCGAGGGGUAUAAGUCUUUCGGGACUUAGAGACCGGCGCACGGGUGCGUAACACGUAUGUAACUUACCCCUAACAGGAGGAUAGCCUUCCGAAAGGAAGAUUAAUACUCCAUAGUAUAUCUAGGAGGCAUCUUUUAGAUAUUAAAGCUGAGGCGGUUAGGGAUAGGCAUGCGUCCCAUUAGCUAGUUGGUAAGGUAACGGCUUACCAAGGCGACGAUGGGUAGGGGGCCUGAGAGGGUGAUCCCCCACACUGGUACUGAGACACGGACCAGACUCCUACGGGAGGCAGCAGUAAGGAAUAUUGGGCAAUGGGCGAGAGCCUGACCCAGCCACGCCGCGUGCAGGAUGACGGCCCUAGAGGUUGUAAACUGCUUUUGUAUAGGAAGAACAGCUCUAACGUGUUGGGGUCUGACGGUACUAUAAGAAUAAGCAUCGGCUAACUCCGUGCCAGCAGCCGCGGUAAUACGGAGGAUGCAAGCGUUAUCCGGAUUCAUUGGGUUUAAAGGGUGCGUAGGCGGGAUGCUAAGUCAGGGGUGAAAUCUCACAGCUUAACUGUGAAACUGCCUUUGAUACUGGUGUCCUUGAGUGUGGUUGAAGUGGGCGGAAUGUGUAGUGUAGCGGUGAAAUGCUUAGAUAUUACACAGAACACCGAUUGCGAAGGCAGCUCACUAAGCCAUUACUGACGCUGAUGCACGAAAGCGUGGGGAGCAAACAGGAUUAGAUACCCUGGUAGUCCACGCUGUAAACGAUGAUCACUCGUUGUUGGCGAUAUACGGUCAGCGACCAAGGGAAACCGAUAAGUGAUCCACCUGGGGAGUACGAUCGCAAGGUUGAAACUCAAAGGAAUUGACGGGGGCCCGCACAAGCGGUGGAGCAUGUGGUUUAAUUCGAUGAUACGCGAGGAACCUUACCCGGGCUUGAAAGACAGUGGACGUAUGGGGAAACUCAUAUUCCUUCGGGCUGCUGUCUAGGUGCUGCAUGGUUGUCGUCAGCUCGUGCCGUGAGGUGUUGGGUUAAGUCCCGCAACGAGCGCAACCCCUACUGUUAGUUGCCAGCGAGUAAAGUCGGGGACUCUAACGGAACUGCCGGUGCAAACCGAGAGGAAGGUGGGGAUGACGUCAAAUCAUCACGGCCCUUAUGUCCGGGGCUACACACGUGCUACAAUGGUUGGUACAGAGAGUUGCCAUCACGUGAGUGAGAGCUAAUCUAUAAAGCCAAUCUCAGUUCGGAUCGUAGUCUGCAACUCGACUACGUGAAGCUGGAAUCGCUAGUAAUCGCGCAUCAGCCAUGGCGCGGUGAAUACGUUCCCGGGCCUUGUACACACCGCCCGUCAAGCCAUGGGAGUUGGGAGCGCCUGAAGUCCGUAACCGCAAGGAGCGGCCUAGGGUGAAAUCAAUGACUGGGGCUAAGUCGUAACAAGGUAACC
This 1481-nucleotide ribosomal RNA is filed under the name uncultured bacterium. Its description in RNAcentral is "16S ribosomal RNA". It matches the Rfam family "Bacterial small subunit ribosomal RNA". The record is from RNAcentral.